GGCUGUGGCUCAGGGGUAGAGCGCUCGCCUAGCACGUUGCAAGGCCCUGGGUUCAAUUCUCAGCACCA
This 68-nucleotide transfer RNA is filed under the name Marmota monax (woodchuck). RNAcentral describes it as "tRNA.Ala". Lineage: Eukaryota; Metazoa; Chordata; Mammalia; Rodentia; Sciuridae. The record is from RNAcentral.